UGGGGAAUAUUGGGCAAUGGGCGAAAGCCUGACCCAGCAACGCCGCGUGAAGGAAGAAGGCUUUCGGGUUGUAAACUUCUUUUCUGAGGGACGAUAGUGACGGUACCUCAGGAAUAAGCCACGGCUAACUACGUGCCAGCAGCCGCGGUAAUACGUAGGUGGCAAGCGUUAUCCGGAUUUACUGGGUGUAAAGGGCGUGUAGGCGGGAUUGCAAGUCAGAUGUGAAAACUAUGGGCCCAACCCAUAGCCUGCAUUUGAAACUGUAGUUCUUGAGUGUUGGAGAGGCAGGCGGAAUUCCGUGUGUAGCGGUGAAAUGCGUAGAUAUACGGAGGAACACCAGUGGCGAAGGCGGCCUGCUGGACAAUAACUGACGCUGAGGCGCGAAAGCAUGGGUAGCGAACAGGAUUAGAUACC
RNAcentral lists this ribosomal RNA (414 nucleotides) under uncultured bacterium. RNAcentral's name for it is "bacterial SSU rRNA". It matches the Rfam family "Bacterial small subunit ribosomal RNA", at positions 355 to 786 of the family's 1533-position model. The record is from RNAcentral.